AGAUGACUACAUAGACUCAUUAGCAAAUGUAACAAAUAUUAUGAAAUUGUUUCAUAAAUAUAUUAAAGAUUCUAAGGUCUUAAAACUAAACUAUGAUACUACUAGUGUAGAUUUAACACAUCCAUCAGAUUUUAUCAUACAAUAUAAUGAUAGUAUAUGUUAUAUGGAUGAACAAGUCAUGCAGGAUGUAAUACCAGCUGAAUUAGAAAUAAAAGAAAAUGCAGAAAAAGAUACAGAAGAAGGUACAGCAGAAAAAAAACAACAAGACCAAACAGAACAAGAUCAAGCAGUACAGACCCGUUAUGCACUUGAAAAAUUUGUAUUAUCAGAGCAUAAGAAAUUAGAAGAAAUUUUAUUAAAUUUAAAAGCACCUUAUAUGGUUGAUCAUAUUAAUGUUGUUGAUGAUGAUUCACCAAACCACGCAUAUAAUUUCAAAAAUAUCAAAUCAAAAAGUGGUGAUUUUUUGGAUUUCGAUGUUGGUACUGAUACUGAUUCCGAUAUUGAUGUUAGUGUUAGCGAAUUAGAUUUAAGUCCAGAGGCUGAACAUUCGAGAUUUGUCUUAAAUAAAUUAAAAACAAAUGCACAUUACCUCCAUUAUAAUUUAAACAAUAUCGUACAUAAUAUUAUGUAUGAAUGUAGUGAAGAAUGGGAUGCCAUUAUGAAUAAAUUAUUAAGUCAUUUCUUUGAUGAUGAUGCGGUAGUUUUAGAAAAUAAUAAUGAAAAAGAAGAAAAAAGCUUUUUACGAUCUCAAGCAAAAGAUACUAAUGAAAUAGUAAAUACAGCAAUGGGAAUAACUGAAGAAAAUAGACAAAAUUAUGACGAUUUUGUUUUCAAACUUUUAAAUAACUGGAUAUUUAUGAAAAGAGAAGCAUUCAUACGAAUUAUGAUCGAAAACUAUUUAACUUGGCAAAAAAUAAAACAAAAGCAAUAUGUUAUAUACACUUGGAAUAGAAAUUCAAAAUCACAAAUGCCUUCAUAUGUACGUCAGCUGUCAAUAGAAAAGUUAAUAGAACUAGUCACAACUGAAAAAUGGGGUGCAGAGGGUACUAGCACUUAUAAUGAACUACAGACAGUAAUGAACUGGUUUAAACAUGAACAAACUGCUUAUCUAAACUACAUAUAUGAUUUAUGGAAAUUGUGGGAAAAACAAAGAUAUAU
This 1158-nucleotide long non-coding RNA is filed under the name Piliocolobus tephrosceles (Ugandan red Colobus). RNAcentral describes it as "lncRNA (ENSPTEG00000004484.1)". Lineage: Eukaryota; Metazoa; Chordata; Mammalia; Primates; Cercopithecidae. The record is from RNAcentral.